AGGUAAACAUCUGUAGCAAAAGAUUGGUUCCUGCUGUUUGAAAAUCAUUUCAUUUA
RNAcentral lists this non-coding RNA (56 nucleotides) under Schizosaccharomyces pombe (fission yeast). Lineage: Eukaryota; Fungi; Ascomycota; Schizosaccharomycetes; Schizosaccharomycetales; Schizosaccharomycetaceae. The record is from RNAcentral.